Molecule: ribosomal RNA, 453 nt
Filed under: uncultured bacterium
Lineage: Bacteria
Description: partial 16S ribosomal RNA
Rfam family: Bacterial small subunit ribosomal RNA
Source: RNAcentral
AUGAACGCUGACAGAAUGCUUAACACAUGCAAGUCAACUUGAACUUCGGUUUGGGUGGCGGACGGGUGAGUAACGCGUAAAGAACUUGCCUCACAGUUAGGGACAACAUUUGGAAACGAAUGCUAAUACCUGAUAUUAUGAUUUUAGGGCAUCCUAGAAUUAUGAAAGCUAUAUGCGCUGUGAGAGAGCUUUGCGUCCCAUUAGCUAGUUGGAGAGGUAACGGCUCACCAAGGCGAUGAUGGGUAGCCGGCCUGAGAGGGUGAACGGCCACAGGGGGACUGAGACACGGCCCUUACUCCUACGGGAGGCAGCAGUGGGGAAUAUUGGACAAUGGACCAAGAGUCUGAUCCAGCAAUUCUGUGUGCACGAUGAAGUUUUUCGGAAUGUAAAGUGCUUUCAGUUGGGAAGAAAAAAAUGACGGUACCAACAGAAGAAGUGACGGCUAAAUACGUG